This 465-nucleotide ribosomal RNA is filed under the name uncultured bacterium. RNAcentral's name for it is "partial 16S ribosomal RNA". It matches the Rfam family "Bacterial small subunit ribosomal RNA", at positions 338 to 795 of the family's 1533-position model. The record is from RNAcentral.
ACUACGGGUGGCAGCAGUGGGGAAUAUUGCGCAAUGGGCGAAAGCCUGACGCAGCGACGCCGCGGGAGGGAUGAAGGUCUUCGGAUCGUAAACCUCUGUCAGCAGGGAAGAACGGUCACUGUGCUAAUCAGCAGUGAAUUGACGGUACCUGCAAAGGAAGCACCGGCUAACUCCGUGCCAGCAGCCGCGGUAAUACGGAGGGUGCGAGCGUUAAUCGGAAUUACUGGGCGUAAAGCGCUCGUAGGCGGUAUGUCAAGUCAAGGGUGAAAUCCCCGCGCUAAACGUGGGAACUGCCUUUGAAACUGGCAAACUGGAGUGUGUGGGAGGAGAGUGGAAUUCCAGGUGGAGGAGUGAAAUCCGUAGAUAUCUGGAGGAACAUCAGUGGCGAAGGCGACUAUCUGGCACAUAACUGACGCUGAGGAGCGAAAGCGUGGGUAGCAAACAGGAUUAGAUACCCCUGUAGUC